Molecule: ribosomal RNA, 495 nt
Filed under: uncultured bacterium
Lineage: Bacteria
Description: partial 16S ribosomal RNA
Rfam family: Bacterial small subunit ribosomal RNA
Source: RNAcentral
GACGAACGCUGGCGGCGUGCCUAAUACAUGCAAGUCGAACGCUGAAGGAGGAGCUUGCUUCUCUGGAUGAGUUGCGAACGGGUGAGUAACGCGUAGGUAACCUGCCUGGUAGCGGGGGAUAACUAUUGGAAACGAUAGCUAAUACCGCAUAAGAGUAGAUGUUGCAUGACAUUUGCUUAAAAGGUGCAAUUGCAUCACUACCAGAUGGCCCUGCGUUGUAUUAGCUAGUUGGUGGGGUAACGGCUCACCAAGGCGACGAUACAUAGCCGACCUGAGAGGGUGAUCGGCCACACUGGGACUGAGACACGGCCCAGACUCCUACGGGAGGCAGCAGUAGGGAAUCUUCGGCAAUGGACGGAAGUCUGACCGAGCAACGCCGCGUGAGUGAAGAAGGGUUUCGGAUCGUAAAGCUCUGUUGUAAGAGAAGAACGAGUGUGAGAGUGGAAAGUUCACACUGUGACGGUAGCUUAACAGAAAGGGACGGCUAACUACGUG